GUAGAAAGAGGGCAGGGGACGUGGGUACGACGGAGGGGGUAAGAGUUGUCCGGAUUUAUAGGGCGUAAAGGGAGCGCAGGGGGUUGCUGAAGUCUGAUGUGAAAGCCCACGGCGUAACCGUGGAAGGUCAUUGGAAACUGGGGAACUUGAGUGCAGAAGAGGAGAGUGGAAUUCCAUGUGUAGCCGUGAAAUGCGUAGAUAUAUGGAGGAACACCAGUGGCGAAGGCGACUCUCUGGUCUGUAACUGACGCUGAGGCUCGAAAGCGUGGGGAGCAAACAGGAUUAGAUACCCCUGUAGUC
Molecule: ribosomal RNA, 300 nt
Filed under: uncultured Lactobacillus sp.
Lineage: Bacteria; Bacillati; Bacillota; Bacilli; Lactobacillales; Lactobacillaceae
Description: bacterial SSU rRNA
Rfam family: Bacterial small subunit ribosomal RNA (bases 52-300)
Source: RNAcentral